Molecule: ribosomal RNA, 1899 nt
Filed under: Salmonella enterica subsp. enterica serovar Enteritidis
Lineage: Bacteria; Pseudomonadati; Pseudomonadota; Gammaproteobacteria; Enterobacterales; Enterobacteriaceae
Description: partial 23S ribosomal RNA
Rfam family: Bacterial large subunit ribosomal RNA
Source: RNAcentral
GGGGCCAUCCCGGCUUACCAACCCGAUGCAAACUGCGAAUACCGGAGAAUGUUAUCACGGGAGACACACGGCGGGUGCUAACGUCCGUCGUGAAGAGGGAAACAACCCAGACCGCCAGCUAAGGUCCCAAAGUCAUGGUUAAGUGGGAAACGAUGUGGGAAGGCCCAGACAGCCAGGAUGUUGGCUUAGAAGCAGCCAUCAUUUAAAGAAAGCGUAAUAGCUCACUGGUCGAGUCGGCCUGCGCGGAAGAUGUAACGGGGCUAAACCAUGCACCGAAGCUGCGGCAGCGACACUGUGUGUUGUUGGGUAGGGGAGCGUUCUGUAAGCCUGUGAAGGUGUGUCGUGAGGCAUGCUGGAGGUAUCAGAAGUGCGAAUGCUGACAUAAGUAACGAUAAAGCGGGUGAAAAGCCCGCUCGCCGGAAGACCAAGGGUUCCUGUCCAACGUUAAUCGGGGCAGGGUGAGUCGACCCCUAAGGCGAGGCCGAAAGGCGUAGUCGAUGGGAAACGGGUUAAUAUUCCCGUACUUGGUGUUACUGCGAAGGGGGGACGGAGAAGGCUAUGUUGGCCGGGCGACGGUUGUCCCGGUUUAAGCGUGUAGGUGUGUGUUCCAGGUAAAUCCGGUUCACUUUAACACUGAGGCGUGACGACGAGGCACUACGGUGCUGAAGCAACAAAUGCCCUGCUUCCAGGAAAAGCCUCUAAGCAUCAGGUAACAUCAAAUCGUACCCCAAACCGACACAGGUGGUCAGGUAGAGAAUACCAAGGCGCUUGAGAGAACUCGGGUGAAGGAACUAGGCAAAAUGGUGCCGUAACUUCGGGAGAAGGCACGCUGACACGUAGGUGAAGUGAUUUACUCAUGGAGCUGAAGUCAGUCGAAGAUACCAGCUGGCUGCAACUGUUUAUUAAAAACACAGCACUGUGCAAACACGAAAGUGGACGUAUACGGUGUGACGCCUGCCCGGUGCCGGAAGGUUAAUUGAUGGGGUCAGCGCAAGCGAAGCUCCUGAUCGAAGCCCCGGUAAACGGCGGCCGUAACUAUAACGGUCCUAAGGUAGCGAAAUUCCUUGUCGGGUAAGUUCCGACCUGCACGAAUGGCGUAAUGAUGGCCAGGCUGUCUCCACCCGAGACUCAGUGAAAUUGAACUCGCUGUGAAGAUGCAGUGUACCCGCGGCAAGACGGAAAGACCCCGUGAACCUUUACUAUAGCUUGACACUGAACAUUGAGCCUUGAUGUGUAGGAUAGGUGGGAGGCUUUGAAGUGUGGACGCCAGUCUGCAUGGAGCCGACCUUGAAAUACCACCCUUUAAUGUUUGAUGUUCUAACGUGGACCCGUUACCCGGGUUGCGGACAGUGUCUGGUGGGUAGUUUGACUGGGGCGGUCUCCUCCUAAAGAGUAACGGAGGAGCACGAAGGUUGGCUAAUCCUGGUCGGACAUCAGGAGGUUAGUGCAAUGGCAUAAGCCAGCUUGACUGCGAGCGUGACGGCGCGAGCAGGUGCGAAAGCAGGUCAUAGUGAUCCGGUGGUUCUGAAUGGAAGGGCCAUCGCUCAACGGAUAAAAGGUACUCCGGGGAUAACAGGCUGAUACCGCCCAAGAGUUCAUAUCGACGGCGGUGUUUGGCACCUCGAUGUCGGCUCAUCACAUCCUGGGGCUGAAGUAGGUCCCAAGGGUAUGGCUGUUCGCCAUUUAAAGUGGUACGCGAGCUGGGUUUAGAACGUCGUGAGACAGUUCGGUCCCUAUCUGCCGUGGGCGCUGGAGAACUGAGGGGGGCUGCUCCUAGUACGAGAGGACCGGAGUGGACGCAUCACUGGUGUUCGGGUUGUCAUGCCAAUGGCACUGCCCGGUAGCUAAAUGCGGAAGAGAUAAGUGCUGAAAGCAUCUAAGCACGAAACUUGCCCCGAG